AGAGGGUGCAAGCGUUAAUCGGAUUGACUGGGCGUAAAGGGCGCGUAGGUGGAUAUUUAAGUUAACUGUAAAAGCCCCGGGCUUAACCUGGGAAUGACGGUUGAUACUGGAUGUCUAGAGUCUAAGAGAGGGAAGUGGAAUUUCCGGUGUAGCGGUGAAAUGCGUAGAGAUCGGAAAGAACACCAGUGGCGAAGGCGGCUUCCUGGCUUAAGACUGACACUGAGGUGCGAAGGCGUGGGGAGCAAACAGGAUUAGAUACCCUGGUAGUCCACGCAGUAAACGCUGAGUACUAGAUGCUGGUUGCUCUUCGGAGUGAUUAGUAUCGUAGCUAACGCAUUAAGUACUCCGCCUGGGAUUACGGUCGCAAGAUUA
Molecule: ribosomal RNA, 372 nt
Filed under: uncultured organism
Description: partial 16S ribosomal RNA
Rfam family: Bacterial small subunit ribosomal RNA
Source: RNAcentral